AUACAGGGGGUGCGAGCGUUAAUCGGAAUUACUGGGCGUAAAGAGUACGUAGGCGGUUGCUUAAGUCAGAUGUGAAAGCCCCGGGCUCAACCUGGGAACUGCAUUUGAAACUGAGUGACUAGAGUUUAUGAGAGGGGAGUAGAAUUCCGGGUGUAGCGGUGAAAUGCGUAGAGAUCCGGAGGAAUACCAGUGGCGAAGGCGGCUCCCUGGCUUAAAACUGACGCUGAGGUACGAAAGCUGGGGGAGCGAACCGAAUUAGAUACCCGAGUAGUCC
This 274-nucleotide ribosomal RNA is filed under the name uncultured bacterium. RNAcentral's name for it is "partial 16S ribosomal RNA". It matches the Rfam family "Bacterial small subunit ribosomal RNA", at positions 523 to 796 of the family's 1533-position model. The record is from RNAcentral.